AUUGAACGCUGGCGGCAGGCCUAACACAUGCAAGUCGAACGGUAACAGGAAACAGCUUGCUGUUUCGCUGACGAGUGGCGGACGGGUGAGUAAUGUCUGGGAAACUGCCUGAUGGAGGGGGAUAACUACUGGAAACGGUAGCUAAUACCGCAUAACGUCGCAAGACCAAAGAGGGGGACCCUCGGGCCUCUUGCCAUCGGGUGUGCCCAGAUGGGAUUAGCUUGUUGGUGGGGUAACGGCUCACCAAGGCGACGAUCCCUAGCUGGUCUGAGAGGAUGACCAGCCACACUGGAACUGAGACACGGUCCAGACUCCUACGGGAGGCAGCAGUGGGGAAUAUUGCACAAUGGGCGCAAGCCUGAUGCAGCCAUGCCGCGUGUAUGAAGAAGGCCUUCGGGUUGUAAAGUACUUUCAGCGGGGAGGAAGGGAGUAAAGUUAAUACCUUUGCUCAUUGACGUUACCCGCAGAAGAAGCACCGGCUAACUCCGUG
Molecule: ribosomal RNA, 490 nt
Filed under: uncultured bacterium
Lineage: Bacteria
Description: partial 16S ribosomal RNA
Rfam family: Bacterial small subunit ribosomal RNA
Source: RNAcentral